Pelodiscus sinensis (Chinese soft-shelled turtle) is the source of this 311-nucleotide non-coding RNA. NCBI's taxonomy places the organism in Eukaryota, Metazoa, Chordata, Testudines, Trionychidae. The record is from RefSeq and is a predicted model, not a curated record.
GCCGCAGCCGCUGGGCGCGGAGGAUCCCGGCGCGGGGGCAGCCCCUGAAGGGGCAUUGGCCCAGGCGGAUGGUGCCCGACAACAGCCGCUGGGACCACAACCGACACCGGCCGAGAGGCCACGGACCAGAUACUGGAGACCCGGCGGGCACUCGUUGAUCUGGAUCAUCAGAGGGUGAAGCUCGAAAGGCUGAACAGGCGUGCCAUCUGGCGGGGCCGGGGGAGGCUCGCUCCCUGCGUGCCGGGCGAUGAGCCCUGCGGCUCCCUUGUCUUUGCAUGUUUUCCCUCGCCCCAAUAAAAGCCGUGAGCUGA